AGAUACUCGUAAGGGAGCUUUCCUGUUAGCAGCUCCCACAGCACGAUUGCGAAGCUGAAAAUAUCAGCCUUGUGAUCAUAGGGCUUGUGUUCUAUGACCUCUGGAGCCAUCCAGCGAUAAGUUCCAGUUUCGGCAGUCAUAACACCCGAAUCAGUUUGAACUCGUGCGACUCCAAAAUCGGCAACCUUGACAACCUCAUUUUCAUCCAUCAGUAGAUUG
RNAcentral lists this unclassified non-coding RNA (219 nucleotides) under Hevea brasiliensis (rubber tree). Lineage: Eukaryota; Viridiplantae; Streptophyta; Magnoliopsida; Malpighiales; Euphorbiaceae. The record is from RNAcentral.